GUCCUAGCCGUAAACGAUGUGCACUAGGUGUCUGGCCCUAUGGGCUAGGUGCCGCAGUUAACACUUUAAGUGCACCACCUGGGGAGUACGGUCGCAAGACUGAAACUCAAAGGAAUUGACGGGGACCCCGCACAAGCGGUGGAGCAUGUGGUUUAAUACGACGCUACGCGUGGAACCUUACCAAGGCUUGACAUGUAUUUGAAAUCGUGGUGAAAGCCAUGACCUGUCCUAAAGACACAAUUACACAGGUGUUGCAUGGCUGUCGU
This 266-nucleotide ribosomal RNA is filed under the name uncultured bacterium. RNAcentral describes it as "partial 16S ribosomal RNA". It matches the Rfam family "Bacterial small subunit ribosomal RNA", at positions 793 to 1055 of the family's 1533-position model. The record is from RNAcentral.